Molecule: ribosomal RNA, 489 nt
Filed under: uncultured bacterium
Lineage: Bacteria
Description: partial 16S ribosomal RNA
Rfam family: Bacterial small subunit ribosomal RNA
Source: RNAcentral
AUUGAACGCUGGCGGCAUGCCUUACACAUGCAAGUCGAACGGCAGCGGGGACUUCGGUCCGCCGGCGAGUGGCGAACGGGUGAGUAAUGUAUCGGAACGUACCAUUGAGUGGGGGAUAACGUAGCGAAAGUUACGCUAAUACCGCAUAUUCUCUCCGGAGGAAAGCAGGGGACCGCAAGGCCUUGCGCUCUUUGAGCGGCCGAUAUCAGAUUAGCUAGUUGGUGAGGUAAAGGCUCACCAAGGCGACGAUCCGUAGCGGGUCUGAGAGGAUGAUCCGCCACACUGGAACUGAGACACGGUCCAGACGCCUACGGGAGGCAGCAGUGGGGAAUUUUGGACAAUGGGGGCAACCCUGAUCCAGCCAUGUCGCGUGAGUGAAGAAGGCCUUCGGGUUGUAAAGCUCUUUCAGCCGGGACGAAGCGCCGGUAAUGGUGGUGACGGUACCCGCAGAAGAAGCACCGGCCAACUACGUGCCAGCAGCCGCCGUAA